This is a non-coding RNA of Manis javanica (Malayan pangolin), 7791 nucleotides long. NCBI's taxonomy places the organism in Eukaryota, Metazoa, Chordata, Mammalia, Pholidota, Manidae. The record is from RefSeq and is a predicted model, not a curated record.
CAGAUGAUGGUUAGCAUUUUUUUAGCAAUAAUGGGUUUUUUAAUUAAGGUAUAUGCAUUGUGUUUUAGACAUAGUGCUAUUGCACACUUAACAGACUGCAGUAUAAUGUAAAUAUAACUUAUAUUAUGCACUGGGAAACAAAAAGAAUUCAUUUGACUUGCUUUAUUGCAAUAUUUGCAUUAUUGCAGGGCUCUGGAACAGAACCUGCAGUAUCCCGAGCACUCUAUAUAGAUUCCAUCUUACACAGGAAGCUGUAUUUGAAGUCCUGAGUCUGGGUUAGAUACCACUCUGGUAUCCUUCCAUACUCUAGUCUCAAAUUGGAAACAUCUGCAUCCUCUCCAAGACUGAUGAUCAGAGGCCUCAUAAAAGAUCAAUAUCUGGAAUGGUUUUGGCAGACAAUUUUUAAAACCAAGUAGGAACAGUGAAAGCCCUGUCGGCUUGUGUCUGCUGCUCUCCUGCUGCUCCAUCAGGAUGCCGCCAGGAGAAAGAUCUCCAGCAUCCUCCGGUCCUAGUUUUUAAAAUACUUUUCAGUCCUCAGUGUAUAUUCAAGUGUAUCUUUUCUUUGCUACCAUAUAAUCACUCAACUUCUGCAAGUUAAUUCUCUAAGCAAGAUGACUUCUUAAAGGCAAAUUAAAGCUCAACAGAAUUAAUGUUGCUCAUCUUACCUACUCAAGAAAUGAUUAAAUGUAGCCUGACCCUUCUCCUGUGGUAAAAUUUAAUAUCCUUAGCUGCACUAUAAAUAAGGGGUACAUUAAUCCUAAGUUAUCACUGCUUCAUAUACACAGAGUUAUACAUUUGGGUUAAUCGGUAGGUAUGUACCACAACUGCUUUCUCUUUAUUCUCAGGCAAAGGACAAAUAUGUUAGUUUGCACAGGUUAAAUGAUGUGGACCUUGCAUUACUGUUCCCAAGCCUUUAUCAUCAUACACAUUUUAGCAAAAAGUAAAUGAUUCUCAGUUUUUUGACUGACUGAUAAAUAGGGUCUUUGAAAGCCAAACAACUGUCUCUUCAUGAUGUGUUGAAUGAUUUGAUGUUCCUGCUACUUUUUUCUUUUAGAUUUGCUUUCAUAUAGUUGAGAUAGUGAUGGAACCAGGCAGAUGAACCUGAGACAUUAUACAUGAGAGAACAAUCUGGCUCCAGACACCAGGCCACACUAGCCUUCAUCUCCCAGCAUCACCAUCACCUCACCCUUAUUUUGCUUUCAUCAUUCAAUGCUGUUCAGUUUGCACAACUACAACAUACACCACGUGGAUCUUAUAUUUCUUAAUACCUUUUCCCAAGGUUAAAUUUUAUUUGCCAAUUGGAUCUCCACCCUUUUCAUUUCUACUAUCUUUUCUACCAUCACUUUGAUUUCCUAAAAAUUUUUGACAUUUAAUGUUUAAUCUCUUUCAACUUCUUUUUUUCUUUCCAUUCAAAGAGCUUUGGGUGUUCUGUCCUUUACAUCACUGAGUUGAGAAGUCUGUGCCUUACUAUAUAUCCAUGGAAAUAUAAGCCAGCAAUUUAUUUGUACUGGAGUCUGUGCUUAUUGAGGCUUAAUCCAUUUUCACUUCAGCUUGCCCUGCAGUCUACAUUCUCAUUUUGCUAAGAAGCAGUAUAAAACCAGUUUUAAGUGCUUUAGACUUCUGGGACUGAGUGCCAAAAUUUCAAUUCCACCUAUGCUACUUACAGUAUUUUUACUCUUGGCCAAAUUAUUAAAUUAAGUCUCAGUUUUCUCACCUUUAAAAUGGGGACACUAGUCAUAAUUAUCCAAGAGUUACUAUAAAAAUUAAGUGAUACUGUGCAUCUUUCAUACUUAGCACAACACCCAACAUGUAAAAUUAAUUAAAAAAAAAUAAAGACCAUCAUGAAUAUAAAUAAGUCCCCAUGCUCAGCUCACGGAGGAAAUAUCUUUUUAAAACUCACCAUAAAAAUAAAAUGGACAUUUUCUAAAAUGUUCUGCCAUUUCCUAUAAUGAAUAACUGUGAGCUUUGCAAAUUUUUUAGGUCUUUUAAGUUACCACUCUCCUCUUUGCUAUGUCUACAUUGUCCUUCUGUCCUCUCACCCUUAAAUGAUAAAUGAAUCUUUUGAGACUGUGAGAUAACUAUAAUUAUUUUUCUCUAGCUAUAGAAAAAUCCAUACCUGUCCACUCUUCACAGAACUGUUAAAAGAUUUCAUCUCAUUUAUGUGUACAAGUUCAUUUCUUUAGGAAGUUAGGAGAGAAACUCUGAAGAACUCACUAUUAGCCUACCUGAUUAAGAAUCUUAGUAUUCUUUUAUACAUGUGUGUGUGUAUGUAUAAAUAAAUAUGUUUCCAUUACACUGAAGUCAUAGGAAACUAUUUUCAUCUUUCUAAUAAGCUACAUCAGAGAAAGCAAAUCAGUUUGUCAAAACUGUAAUGACAUUAUAAAAUCUUCCUUUGAUAUUAUAUAUUGGGUUUAGUCUUAUUUUGUAUUUUGCUACUUCAUUCAGCCGAUAUGUAUCAAGUUCCUCAGAGAACAUGAAGUCAGUAUUUUGUAUUAUUUUAUACAAUUGGGCAUCUGUUUAUCUUUUGUCUGUCAAAAAAUCUUCUAUAAUAACACCAUAAAGAUUAAAGUCCCAUGAAAUUUACAGAAAUUACUAAAAUAUUCACAUAGCUAUUAUAUCAAAAUAGUUAAAUUUCAGAAAAUUAGGCCACAUGAAAACAAAAGAAUGCAAGCACUCUGAGAAGAGAAACUAUGAACAAAAAUUAUUAAUUUGUUUCUAAAGAAGGAAUGAAUUUUAGUUAUACAGUAAUUAUGAAGCAAAUCAUUUGGUACAUGUAUCAAUUUAUGUACUGUGCUAUAAAUUGCCUUCCUUAUGGGAAUAAAAGCCAGGCAACAAAGAAUAUGUAUGACCCAGUGAGCAAAGCAAAAAACUAUUAGUUUUGCUGUCAAAUGAGGUUGACAGGACUUUUUCAAGGCAGAUUACACUGAACUAUCACUGUUUCUAUCACAUUUCUUUUAUAUUUGCCACUUAAUGUAAAGAGAAAAGGCUUCUCCUGCUGGUGAAUCGUCACACUGGAGUCUGCGGUUGUGUCUCUGAACUAUUGUGAAACAUGCCUUGAAUGUUCUUGGAAAGUCAUAAAACAUGAUCAGUGUAGGAGGUAGUUUACAAAUUACACUUACUAUUAAUCAACUCAGAUAUGAGUCAUAUUAAAAUGAAUUUAGAGGUUUCUUGUUUAUCUUCUUGCCUACAACUAAGCAACUCCAUGAAAAUCUUAGGAAAAUCUCUGGUAUUUAAGAAGUCAACCUGCUAGCUCCCUUAUUAAGGUCUUAAUAAAAGUCCAUCCAAUAGUGUCUUAAUCUAAAACAUGACUUAAAACAGUUUCUUUGAGGCAAUUCUGUUCAUUUUCAUUAAUACGAACAAACUCAGUGUACCAAUUGAUGAUACAUGUUGGACAUUUUCUAUUUGAUCAGAUGAUUAAUGACAGCUGAUCAUCAGGAUAUAUAUCUUUAACUAUGGAAUAAACUAAAAAAUGUAAGACGAUUAUGAAUGGAAUUGCAUUCACCCUAAAAUCAAUCACUAAUGUGGAGUUUCCAUCUCUUAUCCUGACCUUUUUCUAUAUAUGCCUAAGACACCUUCGCAAAGACUGCAUCUUCUCUCAGAUCCACUGAAUCAAAUGGGUAUGAACUUUGACUUAAACAAAUGAAAAAAAACUUAGAGCUUCAAAAAUAAUCUUUUACAAAUUGUACACUGCAUAUUGUUUCUUUAACACUGAAACAGGCUGAUAAAAAUCCAAAUGUUUUCAUUUCUUCAGUUUUUUUUCUAUUGUGAGAAAGAUUGAACAUUAAUUAUUAAUUAGAUAACUGGAGGCUAAAUCUACUUUCACUUAAUGAUAUCUACUUUUGGGGUCUUAAUUUAUGUCCAUUGCAUGACGUGGUUGGUUUGAUCUGUACUUUGAUAUUUUGAUUGAAAACAGGACUUCAGGAGGUGAGUUGUUAUACUGGGUACAUUUGGCAUGGGGUAUCCUUUUUUUGGGAAAAAUCAGAGGGAUUUUUAAGAUAAUAUUGUUCUGUUCAAAAUAUAAAAUAGAGAUGUGGUUCAUAUUUUUAGAGAAAAGCCAAGUUCUAGGUACCUGUAAGGCCAGAGGUCUUCAUAUAUUUUGAUGGUUCUCUUUCCAUGCUCUUUGGAAAUCAAGGGAAGUUUACUUCAAAUUUGUAAUCUUAAAUAGGGUGUGGGCACGUUGUCUAAAGUCAGAGAUAAAGUGAUACUCGUGCCCAGGAUUUCCUUAAUCAAGGUCAGUCAAUGAGGAUCAAAGCAGGUUCUCCCUCCCUCCCUUUCUUCCUCCCCUCCCCACACUCCAGCAUAAACCAUACCUUUUAUGAAUGGGCUUGAGCCUUCAUAUAGGUUAAUAAAAUGUCAAUUUAAAAGUAGCUAUACUUUCUUUAUCUCCAAAUAUCUCCAAUUAAAAGGCUUUCUCAUAAUCAUGUAGUAGCUUUUCCUUAAACCAUAGUAAAGUUUAUCACUAAUAAUCCCCUGUAAGGCUCUAGCAUUUUUAGAAUUUCCCUGAAGUUUUUAUGAGUGACUCAAAUGCCAUCAAGAGAACAUAAUGCAUCAUAUCUAUUUUAAACUUCCUUGGAUCCUCCUGCUGAUGAAUGUUCAUAAUUCGAGGCAAAGUUAAUGGAAGGAUGAAACUCCCCUUGAGAAGAGAAUAAAGGUUGGGGAGCUAUCUGAACACAAAUUGUGUGGUGCUUCCAUGCAAGCAAGCCUAGAGUACACUACGGGGCAUCAGAGCUGUAUUUGUCAUUUGUCAUUCCAAAAACACCGGCAGUAUCCAUGGCGGCUCUGAGGGGAAAUAAAUUAUUACUUUGCCAAAGUUUGAUUACCACUUGAAAUGAUAUUCUAAUAAUCACCUACGAGUACUGAAGGAAAAAGCAAGCAGAGAACAAGGUAAAAAUGAAAGAAUUGUCUUUUAAAAAUAAUUUCUGACGUGUCUUAUGCCUCAAAUAAUACCUACCCAAGAGCAAUAAUACAUUAACAUACGAGUAAAAUUUUAUAGUAAGAGAGCAUUCCUAAUAUUUCAUGGUUUACUUAUUAGUUAGAAGUUAUUUUUCUCUUAUUCAUUGCCACUAAAUAGAGUAACAUUACAUUUCAGAUUCCUUAACUAUGAAAUAGGGAUAAUAAUAGCACCUUUCUAACUAGUGUGUUACGAAGAUUAAGUGAUUUAAUACAUGCAAAAUAAUUAGGAUGGUCCCUGACAUAUUAACCACAUGGAGAAAAAAAUAUUACUAUCUGCCGUGAUCAUAAGGAUCCAAUUCUCUCUUCUUUCCAGAUAGUAUAGGACUGUACUUCCCCAUCCCCUUGACAUAGGGUGAUCUGAUUUGGAGGUGGGAAAGAAGCACCUAUUAUAAAUUCCAGGAUUAUUCUUGGAUGUCAGGUGGAUUAUAGAACUUCUGAAGAAGGAGCUGGGGAAAUGACAAAUUGUUUUGGACACAAUGCGUCUGAGCUGACUAUGGACAACCAGCUGGGCGUGUCUAUCAGCCACUGGACCACAAAGUACGGGGCUGGAGGCGGGGCUGGAGUCACCAGUUGAUAUGCGACUGUUGGAAUCAUGGGGCUUAAAGGAACCAUCCAGGAAGGAUUUAUAGAGACAUUCUGAAGAAUAAUGUGUGGAGAUCAAAGUCUGAAGAAAGGUAAUCUAAGGAAGGAUGAAAAAGAAGAGUGAGAGGUCUGAGGGCUUCUGGCACAGCCAAAGGCAGGGAGAACAUUGGAAGAAAGUGAGGUCACAGAAGUCAUUACAGAAAAUAAAGCUUUAAAACUCCCAUAGCCGUGGCAAGCACUCAAGUUACUACCCAGGAAAAUAGUACCUUUCAAUGAAUAUGCAUACUAUCCAAUUUAUUCCUGCAAAGCCUCUAUUUCUUAAAUUCAUCCAUAAGAACACAGACAAGUUUGAAUUUGUUGCUAUUUAGUACAUCAGCCCCUGGCUGGAUUACAAUUCCAACCUGUUUCUGGUUGUAGAGACAGACCGCAACACAAGUAAGAGGGUUAAGAAAGAGACUGAUGGUACAGGUUUUGCUACAAACAUUUUAAAAUUGGAUGAGUGAAGUUCUCAGAUUUCUCAUCUGCUACCUAAAGAGGCUGAAUUAUUUUGUGCUGAAUGAGUCCAGGUGCAAUUUUUCAUCUCUAUGACUCUUAACUGUGAAGACGAUAUGACUGAUGUGGGUGCAACCAUGGGUUGUCCAUGUGUGGAGGCACUGGAUGUCCCUUCUCUUAGGUACCAGUCAAAUCAGUCACCUCAACUGUCAGGAAUAUGGCAAACAAAUGCAUAAACUGUGCAUUUAUGAUGACUUUUUAAACUAACCUAUAACUUCUGUUUUGUUGCCUGAAACCUAUUUCAUUAGCCUUGAGUUUAGUCUUUUACUCAAAUAAAAUGGAAUAUGUUAUUUUCGACACUGAUAUUCUCUCUUCCUCUCUCUCUCUCUCUCUCUGUAUAUAAUAGAUAUAGAUAUAGAUAUAGAUAGAUACACGUAUGAACUUUAAGAGGUUUUUCUUUUGGAGUCAAUGCUCUUUAAUCUAACGUAAAGGGAGUAAAGGAUACAGGGGAGGAUAAAAUACAGAUCCCUGAUUUCUGCUAAAACCCUCAACAAACUUUCCAAACCUGUUCAUUUAAGUCCAACAGUAAAGUGAAAGCACACUUGAAUUGGCUUGGAUUUGGUUAUUAUGAAAUUUGGGAUCUGGCUAUUAAAACCACUGGUGGCUUGAAAUCAGCCACUGUGGCAUGUUUACACCUGAGCAAAUGGCAAACACUGGACACUAGAGCUUUCUUUCCUGUUUUGGAGGUGGGGCGGCUGGGUUUCACAGCGCACCAAAGCUUCUAACACCAGGGUGGCCUACAGUUCCACAGCCAGUGGCUUUAUCCUCAUGAGCUGUUGGUAAGGACUUUCCCAGUGAUGGUAACAAGCUUCUCCUGUGGACUGCGGGCUGUGAAGCUGAUUCUCAUUUUAUAUGUAAACCUGGUGUUUGGAUGAGUGCUGUUUAGUCAUGCAAGCCAACACUUACUGGGAGAAUAAGAGAGAAAAACUGAAACAAGAUCUUUUUUCUUUUUCUCUAUGAAAACACAGCUCCCUGGAUUGACCUGCCUUUCGCUCAACAGUCCCAGGCAGAAGAAAGUACCUGAAAACCCAGUUUUCCCACAUUAAUGCUUAUAAUCAUGACUGAAAUGGUUUGCUUCUGGUUUUUAAUAAAUGAUAGUCUCAUCUCCUACUGCUGUUUUCUCUGGUAGAUGCUGCCACGAGUAGCAAGUAAUGUCCACUAAUUCUCAAAUGGACAAGCACAAAUGACUGAGUUCUAGUUCUGACUUGCCAGUGAGUCCCCAUGUAAUGCUGAGAACAGAUGUUAAGUUCCUAGUUUAAGCUUUAAACCCAGUACAUUCAAGUCAUUUUCCAGAGAUUAAAAAUUGUAUUGCCAUUUGCGACAUGGAUGGACCUUGAGGGCAUUAUGCUACUUGAAAUAAUUUAGAGAAGGACAAAUACCAUAUGAACUCACUUAUAAGGGAAAACAAGAAAAACAGCUCAUAGAUACAGAGAACAGACUGGGGUUGCCAAAGGUAGAGGUGGUAGGGGUAGGCAAAAUGGGCUAAAGGGGUCAAAACAUACAAACUUCUAAUUUGAAAUAAGUAAGUCAUGGGAAUGUAAUGCACAGCAUGGUGACUACUGUUAAUAAUAUUGUAUUGCAUAUUUGAAAGUUAAUAAGAGAGUAAAUUGUAAAAGUCAGCUCAAGAAAAAUACUUUGUUUUGUAACUGUGUGGUGACAGAUGUUAAUUACACUUGUGUAGUUAUUUCAUAAUAUAUAUACAAA